CUCCGGUUGAUCCUGCCGGACCCGACUGCUAUCAGAGUGAGAUUAAGCCAUGCGAGUUAACGUAGCAAUACGUGGCGCACGGCUCAGUAACACGUAGUCAACAUGCCCAGAGGACGUGGAUAACCUCGGGAAACUGAGUCUAAACCGCGAUAAGUGAGGAUUUCUGGAAUGGUUCCUGACUAAAAUCUAUAUGGCCUCUGGAUUGGACUGCGGCCGAUCAGGCUGUUGGUGAGGUAAUGGCCCACCAAACCUGUAACCGGUACGGGCUCUGAGAGGAGGAGCCCGGAGAUGGGCACUGAGACAAGGGCCCAGGCCCUAUGGGGCGCAGCAGGCGCGAAACCUCUGCAAUAGGCGAAAGCCUGACAGGGUUACUCUGAGUGACUUUCGCUAAGAAAGUCUUUUGGCACCUCUAAAAAGGGUGCAGAAUAAGGGGUGGGCAAGUCUGGUGUCAGCCGCCGCGGUAAUACCAGCACCCCGAGUGGUCGGGACGAUUAUUGGGCCUAAAGCAUCCGUAGCCGGUUCUGCAAGUCCCCCGUUAAAUCCAGCUGCUCAACAGAUGGGCCGCGGAGGAUACUACAGAGCUAGGAGGCAGGAGAGGCAAGCGGUACUCAGUGGGUAGGGGUAAAAUCCGUUGAUCCAUUGAAGACCACCAGUGGCGAAGGCGGCUUGCCAGAAUGCGCUCGACGGUGAGGGAUGAAAGCUGGGGGAGCAAACCGGAUUAGAUACCCGGGUAGUCCCAGCCGUAAACGAUGCAGACUCGGUGAUGGGUUGGCUUCGCGCUAACCCAGUGCCGCAGGGAAGCCAUUAAGUCUGCCGCCUGGGUAGUACGGUCGCAAGACUGAAACUUAAAGGAAUUGGCGGGGGAGCA
RNAcentral lists this ribosomal RNA (868 nucleotides) under uncultured archaeon. RNAcentral's name for it is "bacterial SSU rRNA". It matches the Rfam family "Archaeal small subunit ribosomal RNA", at positions 1 to 878 of the family's 1478-position model. The record is from RNAcentral.